GAGUGGAGUCAAAAGGUUGGCUUGUUGCUAAUAGGCAUUAUUCUUCAUCGGUAUCGAGGCAAGAACGUUAAAACUGGAGCAAAGUCGUUCGUCGUAAUCAUUAUUUCAGUCAACGUACUGUUACAAGUGAUUCGCUGAGCUUUGGAAUGUUAAUUAGUUGCAGAUACGAGGCUUGAAAAAACAAUCGCGAUGGCUGACUGCAAGCAAACGACAUAUAAAAAGACGUCUGAGAAAGACAUGCCUAGCUUGGUCAGAGCUUUUCAAAAGUUAAGCCCUACGAAACGUCAAUACUCCAAGCUGUCUAAAUCGGAUUCGACGUCGUCAAUGUCAUCGGGAAGUAGCUUCGUUUCCAACUCUUCCACAUCGAUGACCCCGCUGCAGAAAUCAUCAUCGAGUUUUUCGAAAUGUCUGGGAUGAAGGACAAGAAGAUGAAAAAAGAGAAGGAGCUUCUACAAAAGUUGGAGAAAAACGUCAAGGAUA
Long non-coding RNA from Cotesia glomerata, 480 nucleotides. RefSeq lists it as uncharacterized. NCBI's taxonomy places the organism in Eukaryota, Metazoa, Arthropoda, Insecta, Hymenoptera, Braconidae. The transcript is spliced from 2 exons. The record is from RefSeq and is a predicted model, not a curated record.